AAUUCCAGACAUAACAACGAGAUCGUUAUGUUUUUAAUAUAUCAUCAUUCAUUUUGUUUGUUUGACAUCUGUUUUUGCAUGCUAGUAUGGAGUUAAACAAGGAGUUAUUUCAAGCAGGAUUAGCACAACAAAAUGCUCUACCUUUCACCAACACUUUAUAUGUAAAGGUAUCUUGUUUUUCUUUUUUAGUGCAUAGGAAUUUGAAUGCACAGAGCUGGAGGAGAAUUUGCUGAUGAGAAAUAUCGACAAACGUCACCAGUUGUAGCCCUGGGACAUUCAUGUCAAACCUGUGUUCCUUGUACAGAGAAACGCUGGGACCAACAUGGCUGGACACACAAACAUCAAAGAAGAAUAGAAGAAAAACAACAUCGGGAAAAGGGUUGGUAAAUAAUACGCCAUGUUUGAUGACAUAGAAGACUCUUAUUUUCGAAAAAAAUUGCCUCAGAAAAUUACCCCAGGUUCUAUAUGCAAAGUUUUGGCCGCCCAUAAGUUUUAAAUGCUGGCGUGGCUUUGUGCAACAGAAAAAAAAAAUUUCUCAUGAAAUAUUUGAACACCAUGAAACUUGUCAGUUUAUAGCAGAAGUCUGGUCCGGCAUUGCCUCCACGAUUCUACUGACCUACCAUGUUUAUAUGUCAUGCAGGUUAUUUCAUAAGAAUAAUGAGUCUUCUUUUGGAUUUGAUAGACUUACAUGAAAACCGCUUCCUAGCUUUCAGCUCAUUUGUUAUUAAAUGCAUAUUUUCAGGUCAUUGGCCAUGAAACAUUCUGAGAAAUAAGUGAGCUGUUGUUUUUCCCCAUUUUGUACGGCAGCCAUGUCUUAAUUCUUAUCAUACUGCAGUCAAUAAUUUGCUGCUGUAACCUUUGUCUAUGUUCUUAGGAUUGAAAUCUGCUAAUGGAGAUUAGAACAGCAUUAGAACUUGGACAGGUUUUAUGAGAUUCUCACACAAAGGAAGAUAUAAAUAAAUAUGUCUUGAUCUUAUGGUUUCUGGUGAGAAAACACUAAGAUGGUAAAUAUUGUCUGUUUUUGAUGGUAUGUAAUGAUGUUGGCAUCAAUAAAAAAAAUAAAAUAAAAUAAAAUUUAUUCUGCGAUUUCAAGAUAUCUGGAAUGUGGUAUGAGUAUUCAAAGGUUAACACCUCUAGAUAUUAUACGACCAUUCUACACUGACUCAAUCACAAAUAUCUGAUUCUAAAAGAAGAAAACGAAAAUAAUUUUUUCACCCCCUAGCAUUUAAACUGGCCAUAUCCAGCCCAGAUAUUCUAUUUAUUUCACAUUCAAACUGGCCAGUUCUGGCUUCUUGCACAUAUCCUACAAUGUCAUUCUAAAAAUAUGCAAUCACAUCGUUGGCCUUUUGAAGCUACAAGAUGAUACAGGAUUAAUUCGAAACAAUGUUAAAAGAAUAAGAAAAAAACCCAUCCUCCACAGUAGAAGUGUUAAGUCUGCAUUCCCCCCUGGUGAAGAGGAUUGACCUACAAGAGCCCUGUGCCACUGCCAUGUAAGAGCACUUGUGCCAGUGCCUCAUUGAAACCAAGCCAAAUCAAACUGGAACCUGGUGCAGCUUUCUGGCUUGAAGGCUUUGAUCAAACCAUCCAACCUAUGCCAGCAUGAAAGACGGAUGUUAGAGGAUGAUGAUGGUGAUGAUGAUGAUGAUGAGGACGAGACCCAGUGAGACCCAUCCUCCACAGCAGAAGUGUUGAGGUCAGUCCUCCUGGCGAAGAGGUUUUUGCCUGCAGGAGUCCUGUGACGGUGCCACAUUGAAAGCACCCAGCACUUUUUUGUAGAGUGGUUGGCAUUAGGAAGGGCAUCCAGCCAUAAGAAACCAAGCCAAACCAGACUGGAUCCUGGUGCAGCUCUCCUGCUUGCCAGCCCAGGUCAAAUCAGGCUAUGUUCUAUAAGAUAGACGUCCUUCAUAUUUUUAAGAUGCUGGCAGGAAAUGAGGUCCAACUAGGAAGAAUUUGACUGCUCUUUCUAGACAGUUGAGUAACGAUAUACAGGCUACAAGAUAGUGCCCCUCAUCCAUCCAGGAAUUCUUAUUCCAUUACCAACUCUCAGACAGCAGUCAAUAUCUUUCGUGGUUAGAACAUGCCCUACUAUGAAAUUACAGUUCUUAUUUGU
Molecule: unclassified non-coding RNA, 2110 nt
Organism: Octopus bimaculoides (California two-spot octopus)
Lineage: Eukaryota; Metazoa; Mollusca; Cephalopoda; Octopoda; Octopodidae
Source: RefSeq, a predicted model, not a curated record